Molecule: ribosomal RNA, 2902 nt
Filed under: Klebsiella pneumoniae
Lineage: Bacteria; Pseudomonadati; Pseudomonadota; Gammaproteobacteria; Enterobacterales; Enterobacteriaceae
Description: 23S ribosomal RNA
Rfam family: Bacterial large subunit ribosomal RNA
Source: RNAcentral
GGUUAAGCGACUAAGCGUACACGGUGGAUGCCCUGGCAGUCAGAGGCGAUGAAGGACGUGCUAAUCUGCGAAAAGCGUCGGUAAGGUGAUAUGAACCGUUAUAGCCGGCGAUGUCCGAAUGGGGAAACCCAGUGUGAUUCGUCACACUAUCGUUAACUGAAUACAUAGGUUAACGAGGCGAACCGGGGGAACUGAAACAUCUAAGUACCCCGAGGAAAAGAAAUCAACCGAGAUUCCCCCAGUAGCGGCGAGCGAACGGGGAGCAGCCCAGAGUUUGAAUCAGCUUGUGUGUUAGUGGAACGGUCUGGAAAGUCCGACGGUACAGGGUGAUAGUCCCGUACACCAAAAUGCACAGGCUGUGAACUCGAAGAGUAGGGCGGGACACGUGGUAUCCUGUCUGAAUAUGGGGGGACCAUCCUCCAAGGCUAAAUACUCCUGACUGACCGAUAGUGAACCAGUACCGUGAGGGAAAGGCGAAAAGAACCCCGGCGAGGGGAGUGAAAAAGAACCUGAAACCGUGUACGUACAAGCAGUGGGAGCACCUUCGGGUGUGACUGCGUACCUUUUGUAUAAUGGGUCAGCGACUUAUAUUCUGUAGCAAGGUUAACCGUAUAGGGGAGCCGCAGGGAAACCGAGUCUUAACUGGGCGUUAAGUUGCAGGGUAUAGACCCGAAACCCGGUGAUCUAGCCAUGGGCAGGUUGAAGGUUGGGUAACACUAACUGGAGGACCGAACCGACUAAUGUUGAAAAAUUAGCGGAUGACUUGUGGCUGGGGGUGAAAGGCCAAUCAAACCGGGAGAUAGCUGGUUCUCCCCGAAAGCUAUUUAGGUAGCGCCUCGUGAAUUCAUCUUCGGGGGUAGAGCACUGUUUCGGCUAGGGGGUCAUCCCGACUUACCAACCCGAUGCAAACUACGAAUACCGAAGAAUGUUAUCACGGGAGACACACGGCGGGUGCUAACGUCCGUCGUGAAGAGGGAAACAACCCAGACCGCCAGCUAAGGUCCCAAAGUCAUGGUUAAGUGGGAAACGAUGUGGGAAGGCACAGACAGCCAGGAUGUUGGCUUAGAAGCAGCCAUCAUUUAAAGAAAGCGUAAUAGCUCACUGGUCGAGUCGGCCUGCGCGGAAGAUGUAACGGGGCUAAACCAUGCACCGAAGCUGCGGCAGCGACACUAUGUGUUGUUGGGUAGGGGAGCGUUCUGUAAGCCUGCGAAGGUGUGCUGUGAGGCAUGCUGGAGGUAUCAGAAGUGCGAAUGCUGACAUAAGUAACGAUAAAGCGGGUGAAAAGCCCGCUCGCCGGAAGACCAAGGGUUCCUGUCCAACGUUAAUCGGGGCAGGGUGAGUCGACCCCUAAGGCGAGGCCGAAAGGCGUAGUCGAUGGGAAACAGGUUAAUAUUCCUGUACUUGGUGUUACUGCGAAGGGGGGACGGAGAAGGCUAUGUUAGCCGGGCGACGGUUGUCCCGGUUUAAGCAUGUAGGCUGAUUAUCCAGGCAAAUCCGGAUAAUCAAGGCUGAGGUGUGAUGACGAGGCACUACGGUGCUGAAGUAACAAAUGCCCUGCUUCCAGGAAAAGCCUCUAAGCAUCAGGUAACAUCAAAUCGUACCCCAAACCGACACAGGUGGUCAGGUAGAGAAUACCAAGGCGCUUGAGAGAACUCGGGUGAAGGAACUAGGCAAAAUGGUGCCGUAACUUCGGGAGAAGGCACGCUGGUGUGUAGGUGAAGUCCCUGCGGAUGGAGCUGAGACCAGUCGAAGAUACCAGCUGGCUGCAACUGUUUAUUAAAAACACAGCACUGUGCAAACACGAAAGUGGACGUAUACGGUGUGACGCCUGCCCGGUGCCGGAAGGUUAAUUGAUGGGGUUAUCCGUAAGGAGAAGCUCUUGAUCGAAGCCCCGGUAAACGGCGGCCGUAACUAUAACGGUCCUAAGGUAGCGAAAUUCCUUGUCGGGUAAGUUCCGACCUGCACGAAUGGCGUAAUGAUGGCCAGGCUGUCUCCACCCGAGACUCAGUGAAAUUGAACUCGCUGUGAAGAUGCAGUGUACCCGCGGCAAGACGGAAAGACCCCGUGAACCUUUACUAUAGCUUGACACUGAACAUUGAGCCUUGAUGUGUAGGAUAGGUGGGAGGCUUUGAAGCGUGGACGCCAGUCUGCGUGGAGCCAACCUUGAAAUACCACCCUUUAAUGUUUGAUGUUCUAACGUUGGCCCCUUACCGGGGUUGCGGACAGUGUCUGGUGGGUAGUUUGACUGGGGCGGUCUCCUCCCAAAGCGUAACGGAGGAGCACGAAGGUUAGCUAAUCCUGGUCGGACAUCAGGAGGUUAGUGCAAUGGCAUAAGCUAGCUUGACUGCGAGCGUGACGGCGCGAGCAGGUGCGAAAGCAGGUCAUAGUGAUCCGGUGGUUCUGAAUGGAAGGGCCAUCGCUCAACGGAUAAAAGGUACUCCGGGGAUAACAGGCUGAUACCGCCCAAGAGUUCAUAUCGACGGCGGUGUUUGGCACCUCGAUGUCGGCUCAUCACAUCCUGGGGCUGAAGUAGGUCCCAAGGGUAUGGCUGUUCGCCAUUUAAAGUGGUACGCGAGCUGGGUUUAGAACGUCGUGAGACAGUUCGGUCCCUAUCUGCCGUGGGCGCUGGAGAAUUGAGGGGGGCUGCUCCUAGUACGAGAGGACCGGAGUGGACGCAUCACUGGUGUUCGGGUUGUCAUGCCAAUGGCACUGCCCGGUAGCUAAAUGCGGAAGAGAUAAGUGCUGAAAGCAUCUAAGCACGAAACUUGCCCCGAGAUGAGUUCUCCCUGAGACUUUAAGUCUCCUGAAGGAACGUUGAAGACGACGACGUUGAUAGGCCGGGUGUGUAAGCGCAGCGAUGCGUUGAGCUAACCGGUACUAAUGAACCGUGAGGCUUAACCUU